GCGCUCCUCAGUUGAUCAUACAGUGACAGGUCAUGUAAUCUAUAGCAUAACGUAACUUGUGAACUUGCAUAGCUGGUUGCUUUGUAGCUGCAUUGAAAGAAAAAUAAGAACUGGCUAAAUACAGACAUUUGUAAAACACAAUAAUGCUUAAGAAACCUGGGAAAAGAGUAACAGUAAAAUAAUCUGUUUUUCUUUUUUUUCCUUCAACUUUGCUCUGGAAGUAGGGGGUGUCUGGAGCCUGUUCUUUUGGCCUUGGCUCUUCGGACAGUGUUAUCUUAUAACUGUCCUUGUAGUGAGCUUGCUAGGCAGAGGAAAACUUGUUCUUUUCUUUUGCUUUUUAACUUUGGCCUUGCCACAUUCUGGGCCUUAACUUUUACUUUUCUUGGAGUGAAUAAAUGCAGUGCUUAUUAUUAUUAUUUUAAAUUUCUGCCUCAGUUUCUUUUCUUUGAUGCCUCUUAUGAAAGAAGUUUUAGAAUAGAAGGCAUCACUUUUACUGCUUGAAGUAAUAGUGCUCCACAUUGUCUGGGAUGUGAGGAGCACCUCUGCCCGGCCGCCCUGUCUGGGAUAUGAGGAGCACCUUUGCCGGGCCGCCCUGUCUGGGAUGUGAGGAGCACCUCUGCCUGGCCCCUGCCCUGUCUGGGAAGUGAGGAGCGCCUCUGCCCGGCCGCCCUGUCUGGGAUGUGAGGAGCACCUCUGCCCGGCCGCCCUGUCUGGGAUGUGAGGAGCACCUCUGCCCGGCCGCCCUGUCUGGGAUGUGAGCAGCACCUCUGCCUGGCCCCCGCCCUGUCUGGGAUGUGAGGAGCACCUCUGCCUGGCCCCCACCCUGUCUGGGAAGUGAGGAGCGCCUCUGCCCGGUGGCUGUGCAGGCUUCCAAGUGUGGGCAUACUUCCCAGCUGCCCACCAUCUGUAAAGUGAGGAGCGCCUCUGCCCAGCCGCUGCCUUGUCUGGGAAGUGAGAAGCGCCUCUGCCCAGCCACCACACCAUCUGAGAUGUGAGGAGCACCUCUGCCCGGCCACUGCCCUGUCUGGCAAGUUCUGCUUGAAGAGACAAGUUUUCUUCUUUAGACAAAGGUUGAUAUUUACGCAGAGCCACUAGCUGAGUGGUAGUUUGCCUGGCUACUGUUGCUUCUACAGUUGAUUGAAUGCUUCUAACAAGGAGAGGACAGCCUCAGGAUCCUGGACAGAAUCCUCUACCACAAGAAGAAGAAAGAAGAUAGAAAAAAGAAGAAAUAAAAGAAGGAAGAAGGAAGAAGAAGAAGAAAGAACAAGGAGGAGGAGGAGCAUGGUGCUGGGUUUGGCCCCCUUCCCUCCCACAGGUAUGCCUCCAGGGAACAUAAUUCCAACUCCAGGAGGUCCUGACGUGCGUGUGGCCCUGAGGACCCCAAUACCUGCCUGCAGCAGCGUCUCCUUGCCAAGCUCUAGGCUUCUGAGCAGCCACCUAGUGCAGUGACCCAUCAGGGGUUCCCUUGUGGCUUCCGCAAUCCAGAACCUCUUCCAGGUACGAUUCAUCCUCUGAGCUGCAGUUUGUGCCGCUGUCCAGGUCUGUAGGUCCUGAAUCGGGGACGUGAAAUCUCCCCUGUAGUAGGCAGACUGAAAGUGUCCCGGGAGGAAGCUCUCGUCCAGAGCCACGUGCAGCCACGCAGUAUCCGCAGGUGCGGGCCCUGGACCUGUCCUGGUGUCAACUCAAGGCAGGGCUGGGGAGGGGAGGGAAGUCGUCCAGCCCCUCCUGCCUCAGCCUGCACACCCCCAGUUCCUCCCUCUCUCUGUGAUUGGUCACAGCAGAAGUCAGUCAUGAUCUAGAUUGAAGGAGAAACCUGGAGCAAAAUGUUGCUUGCACUUCCCCAUCCAUGAGGGGUCAGCUGAGGCCCUGCCCCCCAUGCCUGGGAGACCCUGGCCCAGCAGGUCAGUGUGGGGUUUGGAGGACACCUGUGCCUAAAGCUUGACGUCACUCACCAGCUGGCCUGGGUGGUGGUGCCUGUAGCAGCAAACUUUGGACAAAGGGAGCUGCAAGACUCAUGUCCUGCCAGCUGCCUGGCUGGCUCAUAGUGUUUGUGAUAGAUGGGGCUGGCUAGUGGGGGAAUGUAGGAGUCAGAGUGGUGGGAAAAAUGAUAGGGAAAGGAACAGACCUUCUGAAAAGUCAUAAGGCUCUGCAAAGCUCCAGGGGAGAAUAGCUGAAGGCAGCUGUUCUAUAACCCUAAGGCAGAGGGCAAGGAGUAGGUACAAGGGAGUGUAGGGGAAUUUAUCUUAAACAGACUUGUUUACUUAUGUUGACUGAGAACUGACCUUUGAUCAUCCACACACCUGAGGUUCCUUGAAAGGGGAACAAUAAAUGUUAAUUACCCACAGAUUGUGUUUGCUCCAGGUUUUUGGCAUUGUGCCUGCACUGAACAAAAACAAGCAGCUCCAGCUUCUCGGUACUGCUACACUUUGGCCACUUGAUCUGGGCAGUCCCCUAGCUGCUCUUACACUGCGUACCUGUGUCUGAGUACUCCUUUCAUCCAUCGGUUGGCCAGGGUUUGCAGGACAGACCUGGCAGGGGAACAUGUAGUGCCCUUAGCCUGGGUGCUGCACUGCAUAGAACAACAUUAGGGUAACACCAUGUAAGAUAGGUACCCGCCAUGACCUGUGCAAACAUAACACGUGUCACCACACCAAAGAUGUGGUGGAACACAUGGUCCCACCAAGGUUGAGCCCUGAUGGACUUUGUGCCCUCUGGGAGUUUAUGGGUCUGUGGGUACACAGGGUGGCCUCACCUGUCAGUGAACUGGACUGGACGUUGUUCCUGGGGGAGGCCUUAUGUAUCUGCCACUGUCCUCCCCACGUUAUCCAGAUGCCUGCAUAACUGAGAGGCAUUACCCUCCCAGUUUUCACAGGUGCGACGAACUGCCUGGCAGUUCUAUCCCUUGUCAUUAACUGUCUCUGCAGCACGUGUUAUGACUAUAGAGGCACAAGUGACGGCUCUUGCAGAGCAUACCACUCAGGUUCUGAAUUACAGCCGAAUAGCCCUCCUCCUGUUAACGGAUGAGGUUAAUUAGAUUAGAAAAGUAGUGUUGCAAGACUGGAUGGCCUUAGACAUAGUACCUGCUGCCUAAGGAGGCACCUGUGUCCUUGUAGGAACACAGUGCUGUACAUUUAUCCCUGACAAUUGAAAAAACAUAACAACAUACCUGCAAGGGAUCACAUGGAGAAUAAAGGUGGUCAAGAGCCUUACUGAUGACCCCUGCAGAGGUGGUGGGCAUCCCUAGGUUCUGGCCUAUUCUGGACCCUGAUAGUCAUAAGUAGCAUAGCUGGAAUCUUAGUAGUGAGCUGUUGCUCUCUGUAUUGCUGUUGUGGGUUAUAGGUUCAAGGCUCCACCCUAGGGGCACACGUCCCUACUCAGAAGACACCCUCGGCCUAGGGAGUGGAAUGUAAGAAAGAUGACUGCACUUCAGUUAGGAGUAAGCUGAGGCAGCCUUCCAAUGCAGUAUGACACAGUGGAUUUGGAGCACAGGCAUACAAACCCAUGCAUUAUGUAACCACACCAUGUAAGGCACAUAAUGUAACUACUCACGUGAGCUUGUGCUUGGCUCAGAAGCAUUAUUGUCUGUAAAAAGUGUAACUGCUCUGCUAAUGCUAUGCAUAGUGCUUGCUCGCUCGCACACCCAGAGAGAAAUAAAGCUAUGUCCCACCUGCCUACAA
Molecule: non-coding RNA, 3677 nt
Organism: Macaca mulatta (Rhesus monkey)
Lineage: Eukaryota; Metazoa; Chordata; Mammalia; Primates; Cercopithecidae
Source: RefSeq, a predicted model, not a curated record